UAUCCAGUUACUAGCCGCAUAGAUUUUGUGU
RNAcentral lists this non-coding RNA (31 nucleotides) under Homo sapiens (human). Lineage: Eukaryota; Metazoa; Chordata; Mammalia; Primates; Hominidae. The record is from RNAcentral.